GCGAAAGUAGCUCAGUUGGUAGAGCACAACCUUGCCAAGGUUGGGGUCGCGAGUUCGAGUCUCGUUUCCCGCUCCA
This 76-nucleotide transfer RNA is filed under the name Paucimonas sp. RNAcentral's name for it is "tRNA-Gly". It matches the Rfam family "tRNA". From Rfam's summary of the family: Transfer RNA (tRNA) molecules are approximately 80 nucleotides in length. Their secondary structure includes four short double-helical elements and three loops (D, anti-codon, and T loops). Further hydrogen bonds mediate the characteristic L-shaped molecular structure. tRNAs have two regions of fundamental functional importance: the anti-codon, which is responsible for specific mRNA codon recognition, and the 3' end, to which the tRNAs corresponding amino acid is attached (by aminoacyl-tRNA synthetases). tRNAs cope with the degeneracy of the genetic code in two manners: having more than one tRNA (with a specific anti-codon) for a particular amino acid; and 'wobble' base-pairing, i.e. permitting non-standard base-pairing at the 3rd anti-codon position. The record is from RNAcentral. Lineage: Bacteria; Pseudomonadati; Pseudomonadota; Betaproteobacteria; Burkholderiales; Burkholderiaceae.